UGGGUGCAAUGAUUGUUUUUGCUCAAGAAGGUGUUGGAGAUGAUAACUGAUUUCCGGGAGAGGUCCUAAGGUCCAGCCCAGAUUUUCCAGUAAGACUUUUCGGAAUUUGACCAGUCAGAUUAUUGUUCUGUAAAAAUAGUUCACGCAGAUUCUUAAUACUUCCAAUUGAUAAGGGGAUCUCUCCAGUGAAUUGAUUGUUUUCCAAAUGCAAUGUUUGCAGCAUC
This 224-nucleotide unclassified non-coding RNA is filed under the name Hevea brasiliensis (rubber tree). Lineage: Eukaryota; Viridiplantae; Streptophyta; Magnoliopsida; Malpighiales; Euphorbiaceae. The record is from RNAcentral.